RNAcentral lists this ribosomal RNA (253 nucleotides) under uncultured bacterium. RNAcentral describes it as "partial 16S ribosomal RNA". It matches the Rfam family "Bacterial small subunit ribosomal RNA", at positions 524 to 776 of the family's 1533-position model. The record is from RNAcentral.
UACAGAGGUGGCAAGCGUUGUUCGGAAUUACUGGGCGUAAAGGGCGCGUAGGCGGCCUUCUAAGUCGAACGUGAAAUCCCCGGGCUCAACCCGGGAACUGCGUCCGAUACUGGAGGGCUUGAAUCCGGGAGAGGGAUGUGGAAUUCCAGGUGUAGCGGUGAAAUGCGUAGAUAUCUGGAGGAACACCGGUGGCGAAGGCGACAUCCUGGACCGGUAUUGACGCUGAGGCGCGAAAGCCAGGGGAGCAAACGGG